GUGUUUGCUUCUGGGCUCCUCAGGAGCACUCUGCAGCCCCCGACAGUAACGCUGGUGGAGAGCAGUAAGCGGAGUUAAUCACACCCUUCCUCUCAAGGAGAGUCCACUCCUCUUUCCGGAUGGAGUCUGCAGAAGCUUCCAUUGGUUCCAGCUGAAGCCAAAAGCAGUCAUGUAUAGAGGACACGGAAUGGGCUGAUCUGAGCCUCUGUCAUUCCGUGGGAAGAUCAGCCUGAGCUAACAUCUGCUGCCAAUCCUCCUCUUUUUGCUGAGGAAGACUGACCCUGAGCCAACAUCCGUGCCCAUCUUCCUCCCCUUUAUAUGCAGGACGCCUACCACAGCAUGGCUUGAUGAGCGGUCAUGUCCACCGGGAUCUGAACUGGCCAAUCCCAGGCCAACGAAGCAGUACAUGUGUACUCAACCUUUGCACCACCGGGCUGGCCCCAGAAGCUCCAUCUUUUGAGUUCCCUCCUUAUUGUGGGUCACUAUGCCAGGGGUGGGGUGAGACUGUAUCCCAGCUCUCCUACCCACUCUGAUGUGGAUGUGGUUUUCUUCUCAUUUGCCUGCUGUGUAGUCAUCACUCAGCCAGUCUUUAUGUUUUUUCAAGAGGAAAUUGUUCCAAAUGCAGCUGUAGACUCAAGUGUGUCUGUGCGAGGGGGCGAGUUCAGGAUCUUCCUAGGUCGCCAUCUUGAACCAGAUCUUUUCUAGAUGGAGUUUUAAACAAUCUUCAAAUCAUGCAAAAGGGAUGAGCUUGCUGCAGGUUUUUAGAGAAAGUCAUAGGAAAUGAUCCUUUUAAGUAGCAUUAAGGCUCAAAGAGUUAUCCCGAAGGCAUGAAACAUUUCCAAGGUUUUCCUAAGUGCUCCUUGAGACAAUGGCGCCUCGAUGAUUGAGAUUUGAACUCCUGUGAUCUGCUUAAUACUGACAAGGUUAUUCUAAGGGCGUUGUGCUCUCAAACAUGAGCAGCAUUUCAUUACCCCAGAUUUAAAUGCCAAGAGUUUGCCUGCUGUUCCCAAGCAUAGUGAAAUAUAGCCUGGUCCAGCAGGUCAGAGGCCCUUACUUGUGGAUUUGGCCCACUGUGAACACGAAAUGCUACGUCUUUACAGCCCCAGCAUUUGAAAUGGCCUUUCAGUUCUUAAUUAGUAGAUGCUUUCUCUACCACUGGCGACCUGGGACUGACGUGAAGGAGAAUUUGCGUAGUUCGCAGGGGGGCCUGGGAGAGCCAUUAUCAGUCACAGUGUGUUAGAAAUGAGAGAUUGCAGAAAAGAUGAUUAAAGCCCCAGCGGCAGCCUUCACAAAUGAACUUCAGGAGAAAAAGCAGUUUUAGUGUAAAUGUGGCAAGUCUUCAUAUUGGAGCUUGAUGAAA
This 1360-nucleotide long non-coding RNA is filed under the name Equus caballus (horse). RNAcentral's name for it is "lncRNA (ENSECAG00000050410.1)". Lineage: Eukaryota; Metazoa; Chordata; Mammalia; Perissodactyla; Equidae. The record is from RNAcentral.